RNAcentral lists this ribosomal RNA (492 nucleotides) under uncultured bacterium. Its description in RNAcentral is "partial 16S ribosomal RNA". It matches the Rfam family "Bacterial small subunit ribosomal RNA", at positions 29 to 507 of the family's 1533-position model. The record is from RNAcentral.
AGUGAACGCUGGCGGUAGGCCUAACACAUGCGAGUCGAACGGCAGCACAGUAAGAGCUCGCUCUUACGGGUGGCGAGUGGCGGACGGGUGAGGAAUACAUCGGAAUCUACUUUUUCGUGGGGGAUAACGUAGGGAAACUUACGCUAAUACCGCAUACGACCUACGGGUGAAAGCAGGGGAUCUUCGGACCUUGCGCGAUUGAUUGAGCCGAUGUCGGAUUAGCUAGUUGGCGGGGUAAAGGCCCACCAAGGCGACGAUCCGUAGCUGGUCUGAGAGGAUGAUCAGCCACACUGGAACUGAGACACGGUCCAGACUCCUACGGGAGGCAGCAGUGGGGAAUAUUGGACAAUGGGCGCAAGCCUGAUCCAGCCAUACCGCGUGGGUGAAGAAGGCCUUCGGGUUGUAAAGCCCUUUUGUUGGGAAAGAAAAGCAGCAGGUUAAUACCCCGCUGUUCUGACGGUACCCAAAGAAUAAGCACCGGCUAACUUCGUG